CCGAAGUACUCUAUCACCAGAUGAAUGGGAGGUAGCCUACCUUUAUUUGGCAUUUGUUCUAAGGAAGCGAGGGCAACCGGAUCAAACACGAAGAAACCCUAGACGAGACAAAGGCAAGAUGCAACUGACAAAAGACGAUAUUGAGAAUGUUAACGGUGCAGUGUAGUGCCGAAACGACUGUUAUGGGACAUGAGGAAGUAUCUGAAAUGAAGAGGAACAAUAAACACAGUCCCCUCUUCAACUCGAUAAAUCCAGCUGCUAAUCAAUUUUGCAGAACAAAGACUAAUUUUCGCCUUUAUCAUUUGUUACAUCAUCAACUCACUGUUGUACUACAACAUAAAAAAGUUGAUGUGGGCAAAGGUGGCUGGUUCUAAUGAUACUAGUCACCAGUGCUAUGUUCGUUUGUCCACUUGCAACUUUCCAUGUAACUCUCUGUAUCAUUACAUAUUUAUAGUGAGAAUGAGAAAAUAGCCAAAAAUAUCAAUCUGGGAUAUUAAGAUAAAAAUGUUUUAGAGAUCUAAGACAAUUGAAC
RNAcentral lists this unclassified non-coding RNA (532 nucleotides) under Hevea brasiliensis (rubber tree). The record is from RNAcentral. Lineage: Eukaryota; Viridiplantae; Streptophyta; Magnoliopsida; Malpighiales; Euphorbiaceae.